UACGUAGGGUGCAAGCGUUGUCCGGAAUUAUUGGGCGUAAAGAGCUCGUAGGCGGUCUGUUGCGUCGGCUGUGAAAAACUCGGGGCUCAACCCCCGAGCCUGCAGUCGAUACGGGCAGACUAGAGUGCUGUAGGGGAGACUGGAAUUCCUGGUGUAGCGGUGAAAAUGCGCAGAUAUCAGGAGGAACACCGGUGGCGAAGGCGGGUCUCUGGGCAGUAACUGACGCUGAGGAGCGAAAGCGUGGGGAGCGAACAGG
Molecule: ribosomal RNA, 256 nt
Filed under: uncultured bacterium
Lineage: Bacteria
Description: partial 16S ribosomal RNA
Rfam family: Bacterial small subunit ribosomal RNA
Source: RNAcentral